Molecule: long non-coding RNA, 1036 nt
Filed under: Brassica rapa (field mustard)
Lineage: Eukaryota; Viridiplantae; Streptophyta; Magnoliopsida; Brassicales; Brassicaceae
Description: long non-coding RNA (BRAP_LNC006234)
Source: RNAcentral
GAGUAACCACUAGAUCAUCUUCUCCAGUUACUUUAUCAGAAACAGCCUCCAGCUCCGGAGCCCCACCCUCUUCAACCUUCUUGUUCUCUUCGGUUGUUUUCUCAGAAACAGCUUCCGGUUCCGGAGAUAACAAUGAAGCAGUGUCAGGUGUACCAGCCUCGUCCGAAACUUUCUCAUCAGCUCCAACCUCCAAACUCGAUUUCUCCUCCUUAUCAGCUCCACCAGCAAUACCUUUAUCUGAAUCUCCAGACACAGCCUCUGGUGAGGUAGCAACCUCCUUACUGGCGGAUGCAGCGACAAUAGAAGCAUAGGUUUUUCCUGUUAACAAAUACAACCGAUUAAAACUCUGUUUCCAAAUACAAGAUUCAAUCUUACUUAAACAAGACAUAAACGAUGAAGACAAAAACAAACCUGACUGCUCAUUGUCUUCAAAAUCCUCUUCAACCUUCUUGCUCUCUUCUUUGGUAGCCUCUACAUCAUCUUCUCCUGUUGUUUUAUCAGAGACAGCCUCUUCAACCUUCUUGUUCUCUUCUUCAGUAACCCCUACACCAUCUUCUCCUGUUGUUUUCUCAGAAACAGCGUCUUCAACCUUCUUGUUCUCUUCUUCGGUAACCCCUACAGUUUUCUGCUCCGGAGAUAACAAUGAAGCAGUCUCGGGUGAAGCAGCCUCGUUGGAAACUUUCUCAUCAGCUCCAACCUCCAAACUCGACUUCUCCUCCUCCUUAUCAGCUCCACCAACAAUCCCAUCCGUGGAAGCCUGUUUCUCACCACCAUCAAAACUCCCAUUCUCAAGCCUACUCUCGCCAUCCUCUUCAACAUCAUCCUUCUUCUCCUCUUCUCCAGUUGUUUUCUCAGAAACAGCUUCAGGCUUCGAUACAGCAGUCUCAGGUGAACCAGCUUCAUCGGAAACUUCACCAUCGGCUUCAACCCCUACAUCAUCUCCUCCGAUUGUUUUCUCAGAAACAACCUCCUUCUCCGGAGAUACCGAUGAAGCAGUUUCAGCCUCGUCUCCAACCUUCUCAUCAGCUCCAACCUC